UGUAACGUUUUAAUAAAACGAUACUAUUGGCAACCCAACAUACACCCUACCGAAUUAGUUCUGACUAAUUUCGGAUACUCUGUUGAUAGUACUUACCCUUGUCGGCGCAGAACUAGAGCAUCUUUUUGACUAUCGGAAGUCACAAUUUUUGAUUCAGAUUUCGUCGCUUAAACAUCGACAUACUUAUCUGAAGUCAUCCGAAAAAGUUUCAACCUUUUUACCCUAUUAAUCUUUGGAAUGUAGUCCUAAUGGUUCCUGGCAUUUGGGGAAGGAAUCAAUUUUAAGUUUUCAUGGGUAUUUUUGUGAUUUUCUAAACGUGGUUUUGGUUGUCCUGUCAUGAGUUUAGUUUUUGAGUAAACCCUCAGCAUCGUGAGGGUUUUACCGCCCGUAAUAUGACAUGGCGAGUUAUAUGUCGUGAUUGGUGGUUUGAGGUACGAGAGCCUGUAUCUAUGAUCCAUGUUUGAUUUCCACAUGGCUGGUGGUAUUGUAAGGGGCUGUUCGAGGCUGUGGUAGAUUGGGGAUGAGCUCCCACACCUAACGUCCACACACCAUCCAGAAGGACGAGCCAAAGCCUGGAAUUGCACCAGAUAAUCAGGCCAGAUUUCAUAUUUUUUUAUUAACUCAUUUCAAAUCUAUUUACUUACUGUUGAUGAAUUACGUAAUUAAUUAUGUAAUUAUUAGAUAUCAUAUUUUAAUUUCAUUAUUAAAAUAUAAUUUUCUUAAUUUUAAAUAUACAAAUUUUUAUAUAAUUUAAUAUCUUGUCAAGUAUUUUGUGAUGGUGUCACUUGUGACAUAUUUAUUUAAUUAACUUUUGAUUGAUUUACGGAAUUAAGUGCGCAUACAACAAGGUUCAUGAACUGCGUUAGUUUGAGGUACUUAUAUUUAACUUUAUUUUGCGUAAUUUAAUAUUAAUAUGUCAAUGAUUU
Molecule: long non-coding RNA, 926 nt
Organism: Sitophilus oryzae (rice weevil)
Lineage: Eukaryota; Metazoa; Arthropoda; Insecta; Coleoptera; Curculionidae
Exons: 3
Source: RefSeq, a predicted model, not a curated record